AAUAGAUACCCUGGUAGUCCACGCCGUAAACGAUGAGUGCUAAGUGUUAGAGGGUUUCCGCCCUUUAGUGCUGCAGCUAACGCAUUAAGCACUCCGCCUGGGGAGUACGGCCGCAAGGCUGAAACUCAAAGGAAUUGACGGGGGCCCGCACAAGCGGUGGAGCAUGUGGUUUAAUUCGAAGCAACGCGAAGAACCUUACCAGGUCUUGACAUCCUCUGACCUCCCUGGAGACAGGGCCUUCCCCUUCGGGGGACAGAGUGACAGGUGGUGCAUGGUUGUCGUCAGCUCGUGUCGUGAGAUGUUGGGUUAAGUCCCGCAACGAGCGCAACCCUUGACCUUAGUUGCCAGCAUUCAGUUGGGCACUCUAAGGUGACUGCCGGUGACAAACCGGAGGAAGGUGGGGAUGACGUCAAAUCAUCAUGCCCCUUAUGACCUGGGCUACACACGUGCUACAAUGGAUGGUACAAAGGGCUGCAAGACCGCGAGGUUAAGCCAAUCCCAAAAAACCAUUCCCAGUUCGGAUUGCAGGCUGCAACCCG
This 539-nucleotide ribosomal RNA is filed under the name uncultured bacterium. Its description in RNAcentral is "bacterial SSU rRNA". It matches the Rfam family "Bacterial small subunit ribosomal RNA", at positions 777 to 1314 of the family's 1533-position model. The record is from RNAcentral.